UGGGUUGUGGCUCAGUGGGUAGAGCACUCGCCUAGCACAUGUGAGGCCCUGGGUUCGAUCCUCAGCACCACAC
RNAcentral lists this transfer RNA (73 nucleotides) under Marmota monax (woodchuck). It matches the Rfam family "tRNA". Rfam says of the family: Transfer RNA (tRNA) molecules are approximately 80 nucleotides in length. Their secondary structure includes four short double-helical elements and three loops (D, anti-codon, and T loops). Further hydrogen bonds mediate the characteristic L-shaped molecular structure. tRNAs have two regions of fundamental functional importance: the anti-codon, which is responsible for specific mRNA codon recognition, and the 3' end, to which the tRNAs corresponding amino acid is attached (by aminoacyl-tRNA synthetases). tRNAs cope with the degeneracy of the genetic code in two manners: having more than one tRNA (with a specific anti-codon) for a particular amino acid; and 'wobble' base-pairing, i.e. permitting non-standard base-pairing at the 3rd anti-codon position. The record is from Rfam by way of RNAcentral. Lineage: Eukaryota; Metazoa; Chordata; Mammalia; Rodentia; Sciuridae.